This is a long non-coding RNA of Oreochromis aureus, 1730 nucleotides long. The record is from Ensembl. NCBI's taxonomy places the organism in Eukaryota, Metazoa, Chordata, Actinopteri, Cichliformes, Cichlidae.
UGUAUAUGUGUGUAUAUAUAUAUAUAUAUAUAUAUAUAUAUACGUGUAUAUGUAUACGUGUAUAUGUAUACGUAUGGUAUGUAUAUGUAUACGUAUGGUAUAUAUAUGUAUACGUAUGGUAUAUAUAUGUAUAUAUAUGUAUGGUAUAUGUAUAUAUACGUAUGGUAUAUAUAUGUAUAUAUAUAUAUAUGUAUGUGUGUAUAUGUAUGUAUGUAUGUAUGUAUAUGUGUGUAUAUGUAUGUAUGUAUGUAUGUGUAUAAUAUACUACAUAAUUUUUUUUUUAAAUCAGGUCAAAAUCUAAAAGUGGAAAUACAAUAUAAUUACAGCUGUAACUGAAUUAUGUUAUAGUUAACUAAUUUAUAGCAAAACUUUUCAGUUUAAUGUUGGAUUCUGAAUAGCUCAACAUUUGCAGAUCAAAUCCAAAUUUUAUCAUUAAUUAAUUUAUUUUAAAUACUCUUAGUUUAUAUUAACAACAUUAGCGUUCCAUUAAAAUAAGGCAGAUAUAGGAAAUUUUCUAACAUGUAUUUUUCUGGAAUAUACAACUAGUACACUAAGAGCUGAGAAGUCCUUUUUACAUACCUACAUGUUCAGCUGCAUCAGUUAUACAAGAUGGCCAGAAAAAAAAAAAAUCUUUGAUACUGGUGAGUUGUUUACAGUGCAUAUGGGCUUAUGAAUGCACCUCCUGUAAGACUAUACAGAGAGAGCAAGAAACACAUCACACGUUGAACACUUUUAAGAGUGUAAAAUUUCCUGGGUCCAUGGUAUUUCAAAUGCUAAACAGAAAACUUUGCCUAUUGUUUGAUUUCAAAUUCUUUUGUAACACUGUUUUUGCACAUACACCCCACCCUUGUGCUUGUAAGAAUGCAUUUGCAUCUUAUAUUAGCCAGUCUCGAACCUGCCAGCUCGCUAGUACAAAGUCCAUGUGAAGUGGAUUGUGCCGUUGUGUGAAUACUGUAGGUAAUAUUCUAGUGUAAUCAUUGCUAGAGUAUCUCCAGCAGGUGUAAAAGCAGGCUAUUUACAAAUGCAUACUACAUGUAUACAUGUAUUUGCCCAGGUGUAUAUAUAUGAGAAAGUACAACUGUGGAGAACAUCCCAAACUAAUUCUCUGAAUUUACGUGUGAAAACAGCUGUAACUAGUAACUUUACAAUUUACUCUGAAGAAGGUGGGAAUUAGAGAAUUUGUUUCUUCCUCAGUUUGUGAUGGUUAUGUAAUUUUUUUUUCUACCCGGAUUUGUCUGUAAACCGUAUUUGUGAAUACAUUAACACAAUCAAUAAAGAUUUUUUUUCUAUAAAGUAGCAUUUUGUGUUGGCAGUAUACUUUCGCUCAUCGCUAUCCUGAAAGACGAACUAAUGCCCCAUUUUCACGUCUAACCAGUUUCUCUGAGGACUCGUGUUUGUAGCAUUCAUCUUUCCGUCAUUCUGGCCACUUACCACAUCACUGAUGGUCAGAACCAGCUUCAAAACAUAAUGUUGCCAUUACAACGUGAAGAAUGGUAUUGCCAAGGAGUUCAAUGGAGUACCUGUAAUUCAGCUCAAAAACAUGAACAUCUCAUAUCUUAAAAUAUUUUUUCUCUUACUCUUUUAAACAGUUGGAUUAACUUCAAACAGGCUGUAGUUGAUGAGAUGGCUCCUCUUGUGGCAGGUUUUUCUGUCUUUGCAGAAGUUUUAUGUUCUCGGUCACCCUUCUUGCUCAGUUACUCAAUUCUAAAAUUGGUAAACACUAUGAAGAC